Molecule: long non-coding RNA, 285 nt
Organism: Ictalurus punctatus (channel catfish)
Lineage: Eukaryota; Metazoa; Chordata; Actinopteri; Siluriformes; Ictaluridae
Source: Ensembl
UGUGAUUAUAGAUUGUGUGAAUAUAGAUUGUGUGAUUAUAGAUUGUGUGAUUAUAGAGUGUGUGAUUAUAGAUUGUGUGAUUAUAGAUUGUGUGAAUAUAGAUUGUGAUUUUGUACUGUGAUUUUAGUGAGUGUGUGAUUAUAGAUGAGUGUUGAUUAUAGAGUGUGUGAUUAUAGAUUGUGUGAUUAUAGAGUGUGUGAUUAUAGUGAGUGUGAUUAUAGAGUGUGUGAUUAUAGAGUGUGUGAUUAUGGAUUGUGUGAUUAUAGAGUGUGUGAUUAUAGUGAG